AAUUUGUAGGUAGCAAAAGCACCUUCAUAAAAUGCCAAAAGUAAAUAAAUAACUUCAACGCUUCUUAAUUAACUUUAUCCUCACUUAUUCCCAAAAAAUUCUAUAAUAUUACAAGCUCUUUGAGGAAAUUAAAAUUGCAUAUAAUUGGCUAAACAUGGGGGAUAAAAGUUGACAUUGAUACAUUCCAUAUAAUAAGCACUUUAACAUCCAAUACAUUAUAGGGAAUGUGAUCUGAAAGGAACUAGUGUAGAAUGCAUGAGCAAAUAAAGUGUUUAAUGCAUCUGAUAAGAAAAAUGAACUAAGUCUAACUCAACCCAAAAGCUAGUUCAAAGGGGAUGGAUUGUCUAAAUCUUUAUAAGAGGCACAUUACCCACA
This 375-nucleotide unclassified non-coding RNA is filed under the name Hevea brasiliensis (rubber tree). The record is from RNAcentral. Lineage: Eukaryota; Viridiplantae; Streptophyta; Magnoliopsida; Malpighiales; Euphorbiaceae.